GGCCGACCUGAAAAUGUCUUUCUGCCUGCGCUGCCGUCUUCAGCUCUGAUGUCACUGAGUGAUGCUCCUCCCUGCUCUGCGUCAGCCGUCACUCCACCUUCUCCCAGCUUUACUGCUUUAUUUCUGCGCUGGGCUCCAGUUUGAGCUCAGCUCUCCCCUCAGUCUCAGCACAGAGCGAAUAAUGGAGACAACACCAGUUGGCUUUGCUGCUCCAGGUUAUGCUCCACCUGCAGCUCCACCUGGACUGGAAUACCUCACACAGGUGAGAGUCUAACCACACCAAACACAUUUUUGAGUGUUAUUUCUUUUUUAUUCUUUACUUUAAUUUUUUUCAUUUUGUUAUUAUUCCCUACAUUGGAAUGUGUUAACAUGCAGCAUCGUUACAUUAAUAAUUGCUGUUGAUUAAUUCAAUAAUAACUUAUACAGUUUAAGCUGGAUUACUGUAAGAUAAACAGGAGAGGGCAUUUAUUCAAUAUUAAAAUUUGGGGAAUUCCAAAAAAAAUGGUUAAACAGCAGGUAAUAGACUGGUAAUGAUCUAUUUAUCAUAUUUCUUACCUCACAAGGACUGAACUACCCCCCCCCCCCCUUCACACACACACUCUAUAGACACACACACCUCUUUUGAUGCUGUAUCUGGAUCAUUGCUGCUACACUGUUUUCGCUGUUUUCCUCAGGUUUUCCUACCUCAGUAGCCGCCGUGUUUCCGUCUGUUAUCUCACUGCGUUCCGUGAUGUUCCCGGAGGAACGUAAUUUCACUCCACUGUGUAUCUGUACAGAGAUGGAAUGACAAUAAAAGCCUCUUGACUUGAAACCAAUUUUCAAAUGUAAGACAUUCUGGACGUUAAUUUUAUUAGAAUUUCAUUCUGAAUAUUAAUUUUACUAGAAC
Pygocentrus nattereri (red-bellied piranha) is the source of this 886-nucleotide long non-coding RNA. The record is from Ensembl. Lineage: Eukaryota; Metazoa; Chordata; Actinopteri; Characiformes; Serrasalmidae.